GACGAACCGUGCGAACGUUGUUCGGAAUCACUGGGCUUAAAGGGCGCGUAGGCGGGCUCGCAAGUCAAGGGUGAAAGCCCACGGCUCAACCGUGGAAGUGCCUUUGAUACUGUGAGUCUCGAGGAAGGUAGGGGCGUGCGGAACUUCCGGUGGAGCGGUGAAAUGCGUAGAUAUCGGAAGGAACACCGGUGGCGAAAGCGGCGCGCUGGACCUUUACUGACGCUGAGGCGCGAAAGCCAGGGGAGCAAACGGG
Molecule: ribosomal RNA, 253 nt
Filed under: uncultured bacterium
Lineage: Bacteria
Description: partial 16S ribosomal RNA
Rfam family: Bacterial small subunit ribosomal RNA
Source: RNAcentral